CGCGGAUCAGCUCCAUACACGGACUGUUCUCCGGCCAUUUGGCCUUUAAAGUCUCCCAGGCGACGCUGACGGUUGCACCGAUGGAAGAUUCUCACACACAAAACCACAGCUAGGAACUGUACAAUGCGUCUGAGGAGAUGAAAGAAGCGAAGGGUGAACGUAUAUCCUGGUACAUAUUUCCAAAAUUGAUUUGGAAAUCACGAGUGACAUGCAGAGUAUCUUUUAAUCGUCCAGAUUGAAAUCAUACGUCUUAGACACCUCGAAUAAAAUAUUUAAAUACGAUAGAUAGAAUAUUUCAAAUUACUGAAUGAAUGAAACGAAGAUGCGUGAAGGUGAUGUAAUUGUAUUUGCAGAUGUACAGAUCUCGUCGCAGGAUAAUACAGUGAGCAGAGAGUGUCUCACCAGAGAUAAAAUUCGUGUCGAUGUCAUGUGAAUGAAAAAAGUCGAGCUUACCGAACAAGGGAUCCGAUGCCCGCCUCGGAUGUUUCCUCCCGAGAGACCUCGUUUCUCAACGAUCGGCCCUCGCGCGGCGCAGUCGAUCGGCGGCACGAUAGAAAUGACUAAACUAAAAAAACGGCUGCGACCCCGGUCAAAAGCGAGGCUUCAUGAAGAAGAAAGGAGGGAAGAAAAAAGUGAAGAGGAGUCGGAACGAGCGUGCUACCUAACUACUCGGAUUGCGAAACCGCAUGAUGACGACGAUGUUACUUCACCUACGAUCUACACCGCGGCUUGCGAGGCGAAAAUCGCGGUGGAGCCCUCGACCCGCGGCAUCGACUAAGCAGAGCGGGUACACGGCGGGGUUUAAGGAAUCGGGAGAUCGGGGGAAUAUGGCCAGCCUUCCCCGAACGCGCAGGAUUCGAUCGAUGGUCCACGAGAGAGGGAGACGCAUUAUCAUCCCGCGCGUGUCCCUCGUCCGCGCACUCGCUCCUCUCGAAAACGGGGGUGGAAUAAAACCCGCGCCCCUUAAGUACGAAUGAAAACGUUGCGAUUUCUUACACAAUCAUGGGGAAGUAAUCGAAAGGCGUACAAAUCGGUUAUAUCUAUUCUUUUUAAUAGAAAACAAAAAGGCGAGAUUUCCGCAGUUAUAAAAAUAUUGGAGGGCUGAUGAGUAAUGCAAUUGUCGUUUGUUAAAGGAACGCUUUCAUCACUUUAUUUGUAUAAUUAUUAAUCACACAAUUUUGUGUAUCGAGUAGAAAUAAAGUAGAUCUAAGAAAUUAGAUCUCUCUCUCUUGGUGCUCUUAAUUUAUGGAAUGAGAUAGCAAUUAUUGUGCAGCGUUUUGGGCGUAUAAUCCUUUUCUAAUACUGUGUGUGUUUGAAAUUCAGAAUUAGCAUGUCGCUCCGAUCAAAAAUUCAUGAUGAAUAUUCAAUUGCUAUUGCAUAAUUCCGAGAAUUCCUGACUACGAGAUUUGUCAUUUUGCAGUAAGCCGUGUAAUAUUCGACUUGCCGUAAAAU
Molecule: long non-coding RNA, 1452 nt
Organism: Linepithema humile (Argentine ant)
Lineage: Eukaryota; Metazoa; Arthropoda; Insecta; Hymenoptera; Formicidae
Source: RefSeq, a predicted model, not a curated record